Molecule: ribosomal RNA, 396 nt
Filed under: uncultured bacterium
Lineage: Bacteria
Description: partial 16S ribosomal RNA
Rfam family: Bacterial small subunit ribosomal RNA
Source: RNAcentral
AUACGUAGGGGGCGAGCGUUGUCCGGAAUGAUUGGGCGUAAAGGGCGCGUAGGCGGCCCGGUAAGUCUGGAGUGAAAGUCCUGUUUUUAAGAUGGGAAUUGCUUUGGAUACUGUCGGGCUUGAGUGCAGGAGAGGUAAGUGGAAUUCCCAGUGUAGCGGUGAAAUGCGUAGAGAUUGGGAGGAACACCAGUGGCGAAGGCGACUUACUGGACUGUAACUGACGCUGAGGCGCGAAAGUGUGGGGAGCAAACAGGAUUAGAUACCCUGGUAGUCCACACUGUAAACGAUGAUUACUAGGUGUGGGGGGACUGACCCCUUCCGUGCCGCAGUUAACACAAUAAGUAAUCCACCUGGGGAGUACGGCCGCAAGGUUGAAACUCAAAUGAAUGGACGGGG